RNAcentral lists this ribosomal RNA (540 nucleotides) under Triticum aestivum (bread wheat). RNAcentral's name for it is "partial small subunit ribosomal RNA". Lineage: Eukaryota; Viridiplantae; Streptophyta; Magnoliopsida; Poales; Poaceae. The record is from RNAcentral.
GCGCGACACCGAGACGAGCUAGUUAGUGCCCUUGCUGAUGAGCUCGAGGGCAGUGGCGGUGGUGGGCAGUGCCGGGAUGGCUCCCUUCUUGGUGGUGCAGAUGGCCCCGCAAGCGUUGGAAAACUCGAGCACCUCCCUCAGCUUGGCCUCGUUCUGACCAAUCACAAAGAAAACAACAUCAUUAGCAACUACUCACAAAAGAUGGAGUCGUCCUUGGCGACGUUGAGGAGGAGGGAUCCAACGAAGGCAUCGCCGGCGCCGGUGGUGUCGACGGUGUUAACGGAGUACCCUGGCAGGGAGCCCUUGAAGUCCUUGGUGAAGUACCUGCAUCCCUUCUCCCCGUCGGUGACGACGAGCAGCUUGAGGCCGUCGAACCAGAGCGUGAGGACGUUCUUCUCGUCAUGGGCGUCGCCCUGGGUGAGGAAGGCCACCUCCUCGUCACUCACCUUGAUGAAGUCGGCCUCCUUCCAGAUGCUCAUGAUGCCGUCGCGUGCGGCCUGGGCAGAGGGCCAGAGCGGGAGGCGCACGUUGGGGUCGUAG